GACGAACGCUGGCGGCGUGCUUAACACAUGCAAGUCGAACGGAAAGGCCCUGCUUUUGUGGGGUGCUCGAGUGGCGAACGGGUGAGUAACACGUGAGUAACCUGCCCUUGACUUUGGGAUAACUUCAGGAAACUGGGGCUAAUACCGGAUAGGAGCUCCUGCUGCAUGGUGGGGGUUGGAAAGUUUCGGCGGUUGGGGAUGGACUCGCGGCUUAUCAGCUUGUUGGUGGGGUAGUGGCUUACCAAGGCUUUGACGGGUAGCCGGCCUGAGAGGGUGACCGGCCACAUUGGGACUGAGAUACGGCCCAGACUCCUACGGUAGGCAGCAGUGGGGAAUAUUGCACUAUGGGCGGAAGCCUGAUGCAGCAACGCCGCGUGCGGGAUGACGGCCUUCGGUUUGUAAACCGCUUUCGCCUGUGACGAAGCGUGAGUGACGGUAAUGGGUAAAGAAGCACCGGCUAACUACGUG
This 468-nucleotide ribosomal RNA is filed under the name uncultured bacterium. RNAcentral's name for it is "partial 16S ribosomal RNA". It matches the Rfam family "Bacterial small subunit ribosomal RNA", at positions 28 to 507 of the family's 1533-position model. The record is from RNAcentral.